RNAcentral lists this long non-coding RNA (747 nucleotides) under Homo sapiens (human). RNAcentral's name for it is "non-protein coding lnc-TMSB10-5:1". The record is from RNAcentral. Lineage: Eukaryota; Metazoa; Chordata; Mammalia; Primates; Hominidae.
CUCUCCUGAAGCUGGGCCAUCCUUCUUCUUCUGACCUUGGACAUCAGAACUGCAGGCUCCCUGGCCUUUGGACUCUGGGUCUUACAUUAGCAGCCCCCAGGUUCUUGGCCUUUGGCCUUGGACUGAGAAUUACACUAUCAGCUGCCCUGGUUCUGAGACUUUAGGACUUGAACUGAGCCCCACUGUGGUAUUCCACGGUCUCCAGCUUACAGACAGUCUGUCGUGGGACUUUUCACCUCCCUAAUCUCAUGAGCCAAUUCCCCUAAUAAAUCCCCUCUCAUAUAUCUAUAUACAGUCGCCCCUCAUAUCUAUGGGAGAUGGGUUCCAGGUUAUGUUGCCCAGGCUGGCCUUGAACUCUUGGGCUCAAGCUAUCCUCCCAUCUCAGCUUCCCAAGUAGCUAGGACUAUCAUAUUCUUUUUUUUUUUUUUUUUUUGAGACGGAGUCUCGCUCUGUCACCCAGGCUGGAGUGCAGUGGUGCGAUCUCGGCUCACUGCAAGCUCUGCCUCCCGGGUUCAUGCCAUUCUCCUGCCUCAGCCUCCUGAGUAGCUGGGACUACAGGCGCCCACCACCACACCCAGCUAAUUUUUUUUUUUUUUGUAUUUUUAGUAGAGACGGGGUUUCACCAUGUUAGCCAGGAUGGUCUCGAUCUCCUGACCUCGUGAUCUGACCGCCUCGGCCUCCCAAAGUGCUGGGAUUACAGGCAUGCGCCACUGUGCCCGGCCCAUAUUCUUUUUUUUUUUUUUUUUU